RNAcentral lists this ribosomal RNA (405 nucleotides) under uncultured bacterium. RNAcentral describes it as "partial 16S ribosomal RNA". It matches the Rfam family "Bacterial small subunit ribosomal RNA", at positions 30 to 526 of the family's 1533-position model. The record is from RNAcentral.
AUUGAACGCUAGCGGGAUGCUUAACACAUGCAAGUCGAACGAGUGGCGGACGGGUGAGUAAUAUAUCGGAACGUGGCCAGUAGCGGGGGAUAACUACGCGAAAGAGUGGCUAAUACCGCAUACUAUUGGAGCGGCCGAUAUGGGAUUAGCUAGUUGGUGGGGUAACGGCUCACCAAGGCAACGAUCCGUAGCUGGUUUGCGAGGACGACCAGCCACACUGGGACUGAGACACGGCCCAGACUCCUACGUGAGGCAGCAGUGGGGAAUUUUGGACAAUGGGGGAAACCCUGAUCCAGCCAUACCGCGUGUAUGAGAAGGCCUUCGGGUUGUAAAGUACUUUUGGCAGAGAAGCGGUAUCUGCAGAAUAAGCACCGGCUAACUACGUGCCAGCAGCCGCGGUAAUAC